GAUGAACGCUGGCGGCGUGCCUAACACAUGCAAGUCGAGCGAUCUUCUUCGGAAGAGAGCGGCGGACGGGUGAGUAACGCGUGGGUAACCUGCCCUGUACACACGGAUAACAUACCGAAAGGUAUGCUAAUACGAGAUAAUAUACUUUUAUCGCAUGGUAGAAGUAUCAAAGCUCUGGCGGUACAGGAUGGACCCGCGUCUGAUUAGCUAGUUGGUAAGGUAACGGCUUACCAAGGCGACGAUCAGUAGCCGACCUGAGAGGGUGAUCGGCCACAUUGGAACUGAGACACGGUCCAAACUCCUACGGGAGGCAGCAGUGGGGAAUAUUGCACAAUGGGCGAAGCCUGAUGCAGCAACGCCGCGUGAGCGAUGAAGGCCUUCGGGUCGUAAAGCUCUGUCCUCAAGGAAGAUAAUGACGGUACUUGAGGAGGAAGCCCCGGCUAACUACGUGCCAGCAGCCGCAGUAA
RNAcentral lists this ribosomal RNA (467 nucleotides) under uncultured bacterium. RNAcentral's name for it is "partial 16S ribosomal RNA". It matches the Rfam family "Bacterial small subunit ribosomal RNA", at positions 28 to 523 of the family's 1533-position model. The record is from RNAcentral.